AUUCCGGUUGAUCCUGCCGGAGGUCAUUGCUAUUGGAGUCCGAUUUAGCCAUGCUAGUUGUACGAGUUUAGACUCGUAGCAGAUAGCUCAGUAACACGUGGCCAAACUACCCUAUGGAUCAGAACAACCUCGGGAAAC
This 138-nucleotide ribosomal RNA is filed under the name Natronorubrum texcoconense. RNAcentral's name for it is "partial 16S rRNA. Archaeal SSU". It matches the Rfam family "Archaeal small subunit ribosomal RNA", at positions 1 to 140 of the family's 1478-position model. Lineage: Archaea; Methanobacteriati; Methanobacteriota; Halobacteria; Halobacteriales; Natrialbaceae. The record is from RNAcentral.